GACGAACGCUGGCGGCGUGCCUAAUACAUGCAAGUUGAGCGCUGAAGGUUGGUACUUGUACCAACUGGAUGAGCAGCGAACGGGUGAGUAACGCGUGGGGAAUCUGCCUUUGAGCGGGGGACAACAUUUGGAAACGAAUGCUAAUACCGCAUAAAAACUUUCAACACAAGUUUUAAGUUUGAAAGAUGCAAUUGCAUCACUCAAAGAUGAUCCCGCGUUGUAUUAGCUAGUUGGUGAGGUAAAGGCUCACCAAGGCGAUGAUACAUAGCCGACCUGAGAGGGUGAUCGGCCACAUUGGGACUGAGACACGGCCCAAACUCCUACGGGAGGCAGCAGUAGGGAAUCUUCGGCAAUGGACGAAAGUCUGACCGAGCAACGCCGCGUGAGUGAAGAAGGUUUUCGGAUCGUAAAACUCUGUUGGUAGAGAAGAACGUUGGUGAGAGUGGAAAGCUCAUCAAGUGACGGUAACUACCCAGAAAGGGACGGCUAACUACGUG
This 497-nucleotide ribosomal RNA is filed under the name uncultured bacterium. RNAcentral describes it as "partial 16S ribosomal RNA". It matches the Rfam family "Bacterial small subunit ribosomal RNA", at positions 28 to 507 of the family's 1533-position model. The record is from RNAcentral.